UGUUAAAAUUUUCAUCUAUUUAUAUUGUUAAAGGGGUGACUAAUAGAAUAAUCAAACAGUUACACGUGAUGUGCCAUGUGUACCUCACACUAACAUAAAUGAACUAGUUUUAAACAGUAGAAAUAUAUAGAAAUUUUUAACA
Gossypium hirsutum (cotton) is the source of this 142-nucleotide non-coding RNA. Lineage: Eukaryota; Viridiplantae; Streptophyta; Magnoliopsida; Malvales; Malvaceae. The record is from Rfam.